AUGUCUAUUUUAUUUUGCCAACGUCAAAUUUCAUAUUCAUGUCAAUUACUCAUAACCUCUUUCAUGUUCAUUACAGCUUACGGUGUGUUUACUGUCGAACCGUUGACAGGUAGUAACUUCCCUCGUUGGAAGAAUUCGAUGGAAUUAUGCCUAGCCGUCCAUCAGUUUGAUUAUGCUUUACGGGAGGAUAAACCCGUGGCUCCCGCUGCUGGUGUCACGGGGUAUGCUGAACUAAAGAAAACUUAUGAUUCCAAGAUGGAAAUAUGGGAAAAGUUAAAUCACAUUGCUAUGCUUGUGAUGAGAUCAUCCAUAUCACCUGACAUAAUUGGGGCACUACCCAAGAAAGAUACUCCUAAGGAAUUCAUGGCAGCCCUGGAGGAGCAAUUCAAAGGCUCCGACAAGGUUUAUGCGCAAGAACUUUUUCACAAGCUCCUUGGGAAGUAUAAUAAUGAUGGUACUGUCAGGGCUCACAUUUUAAAGAUGGUGAAUGCUUGUAACAAAUUUAAGGCAUUACAAUGUGAGCUCAAUGAUAAUCUCCUUGUCAUCAUGAUCUUGGACUCCCUCCCUGAAGAGUUUGAUCAAUUUAAGAUUAACUAUAACUCUCUUAAAGAGAAAUGGACAAUCGCGGAGAUAUCUCCAAGAAUUGUCGAGGAAGAAGAGAGGAUUAAGAGGCAAGAAAAGGUCCAAGCCUUUUUGGUUGGCUCCUCCAAGAGAAAACACGAUGGAGCAAGAUCUUCUAAGCAACAACCAUAA
This 753-nucleotide ribosomal RNA is filed under the name Triticum aestivum (bread wheat). Its description in RNAcentral is "partial small subunit ribosomal RNA". The record is from RNAcentral. Lineage: Eukaryota; Viridiplantae; Streptophyta; Magnoliopsida; Poales; Poaceae.